This is a small nucleolar RNA of Megalops cyprinoides (Indo-Pacific tarpon), 71 nucleotides long. RefSeq annotates it as small nucleolar RNA SNORD18. The record is from RefSeq and is a predicted model, not a curated record. Lineage: Eukaryota; Metazoa; Chordata; Actinopteri; Elopiformes; Megalopidae. The transcript has a single exon.
CUAUUAUGAUGAGUUUUCACUUCAUGGUCCGUGUUUCUGAAGGCUGUGAUUUCAGUGGAAGUUCUGAUUGU